This 254-nucleotide ribosomal RNA is filed under the name uncultured bacterium. RNAcentral describes it as "partial 16S ribosomal RNA". It matches the Rfam family "Bacterial small subunit ribosomal RNA", at positions 524 to 776 of the family's 1533-position model. The record is from RNAcentral.
UACGGGGGGAGCAAGCGUUGUUCGGAUUUACUGGGCGUAAAGGGCGCGUAGGCGGUCAGCACAAGUCAGUUGUGAAAUCUCCGGGCUUAACCCGGAAAGGUCAACUGAUACUGUGCGACUAGAGUGCGGAAGGGGCAACUGGAAUUCUCGGUGUAGCGGUGAAAUGCGUAGAUAUCGAGAGGAACACCUGCGGCGAAGGCGGGUUGCUGGGCUGACACUGACGCUGAUGCGCGAAAGCUAGGGGAGCGAACGGG